Diabrotica virgifera virgifera (western corn rootworm) is the source of this 1291-nucleotide long non-coding RNA. RefSeq lists it as uncharacterized. The record is from RefSeq and is a predicted model, not a curated record. Lineage: Eukaryota; Metazoa; Arthropoda; Insecta; Coleoptera; Chrysomelidae. The transcript is spliced from 3 exons.
GAAGAAGAACAAGAUCCUGUUAAAGACAACCUUACAACCUGGUUCAACACAACGUCUGUGAAGCUUUUUCUUGCUGCUGCAGAGGAGAUAAAGAUUGCCAUGAUGAUAGCAAACAUUCGUGACAGAUAGGCACAUAAGAAGAAGAAUUUGACUCAAAAUGAACUGCAAUCAUAAACUGCUUUCAGACAAUCAAAUUAAUAACGUUCUUAAUAUUUUAAAAUUACCUGGUAGGAAUCAAAUACUAUUUUUAUUUACUCAAAACAUUUACAGUUGGUAAUGUGCAAUAUUUGUUCUCAGAUAACACAAACACUUGAAACAGAUUAUCUAAUCCUAAAAAAUAUAUCUUUUGUUUUAAAUUGUAUGUUUAUGAAUUUGUUACUCAUAAAACUGAUAAGCUCAUUUCAUUAUAAAUAUACAGCAGCAUAUUUUAGAAUACAAAUUUAGGAGUUAUAUAAAACUAUAUUUGAACAAGGCCGAUUUUUAGGCUACUAAAGAUAAAAAAGAGAAGUAGAGUGUAAAGGUUUGUUGAGGCAGGUUAUUUCAGGUACGAUUAAUUACAGGGACCCGAUCCGUCAACUGUCAGUGUCAGUUAAAUUGAUUCACACGUGGUAUUUGUGACAGUGACAUUUGAUAGACGUCAAGUUUUAUUUUUGUUUGGAAUAUUUAUAUUGUUUGUAUUUUCUACAAAAUGGUAAUGUAAUGUGUUGGGUAUCCGAAUGGUUAUCAUUGAUAUUGAAAUCUGCAGAACAGAGUAAAACUACUCAUUUAUGUUCCUGGUCCCUGCUACUUUUAUAAAGGAGAUAAAGAAAAUCUUCUCACCAUAUUUUCAUGAAGAUUCUGAAGAAAUGCAGUAGUACUAUCUUUAUGCAAACUACAAGUACGAGCAUUAAAUCUCAGAAAUGUUUACCACUGUUUUUUUUUGUUUUAUUCCAUGGAUUGUAGAUGUAGACCCUCUACAUCUUCAUUACCACUUGAAAGUCAACCAGAAUCAUCUCAUUCAAGUGGUAUCACAUCAAGUAGUGCACAACAAGACACCGAAAUGUAUUUUCUUGAAUAAGAGAAUACUCAGCUGAAACUAAAAUUAGAUAAUUUGUCAAAUAUAGAUUUCCAUUUCAGUAUAUCAAGAACGAUCACAAUUUAGUGCAAGUGUACAUUUGAAUAACAACUACUGUAUAUUGAAAUAUUGUUUAAUAUUUAAUAUGCUAAGUAAUAUUCAGUUGAAUAUUAUCAUGGAUGGGUGAAAUAUCACCGUUUUAACAAAAAAAGGAAUGUGUUGUAUUUUGUACGCACC